AACCUUAAUUCCCAAAUUAAAUCAGAAACCCUAAUUCCCAAAUUGAAGAACCCUAAUCCUAAUCCCUCCUCACCACACUCAGCCGCAUACCCUUUCGCUUUAAUCCCUUUCAAACGUAACACAGCAGCAGAGAAGGAGAGCUGUGAUCGAAAGAGAGGAAGAGCCACGCUGCCGCCGCUGUCCAGCCGCCUCGCCACCACCGUCGCACCGCCACCGCACCAUCGUCUCUCCCAGCUUGCCGCCAUCCUCCACGUCGUUGCCACUACUGUUCGCAAAGAGGAGAGAGAGAGAGACGUUGAGACAGAGCAGCGUCGAGAGGGAGAGGAUCCGCCAUCAUCAUCGAUUUGUGCUUGCUAGAGGAAGCCGCUGCCGCCGAUGAGUUGUCGCCGCUAUGACACGUCCGAGAGGUGAGGAGUCGUGCGUUGAAAACCGUCGCAUCCUGCCGCCAAGGGUUCCGUCGCAGCCAACCCGUCGCAGUUGGUGUCACUGCCGUCCUUGUUGGAUUCCACCGUGGAGAAGAGAAUGACACGAGGGAGGGAGGGAGAUAGAGCCGUGCGAGCCAGAGGAGGCACUGUCCUCACUGUUGCUUCCACGGCCACUAGUGAGUCGUGCACCGCCAUCAGAGUCGAAGAUAGCAUCGGCCUUCUUGUUCUGGUUCCGAUUCCUCGAUUUAUACAAUUUUCUGCCAAUUUGCUUCAAAAUUGCUAUUGUAACUCGUAUUGGUUUUGGGACUGUUGUGGCUGCUGCUGGUUUUGUUCGAGGCUACUGCUGCUGUGAGAAAGGAAAAAGGAAUUUGUCACAGUUAACGAAUUCUUUGAGUCCUGAUUAUUUGAGGUAGGGGAUUUAUUUUAAAAUUAACUGUUUUAAUUUAUGAAUGCCAAUGAAGUUUAGUGAGUAAUUGCAAAUAAUUUAUAAAUGUCUUGUUUGGUUAAUUAAUGAAAAUUGAUGAAAUUGAGAUUGUUGGUGAUUGUGAAUAUGGUUGAAUGUGAUGAAAUUGUGAUGAGAUUUAUUUGUAGUUGUGUUUGAGGAUGAUGAUUUCUGCUGGUUAUGUGAUUUGAUGAUGAUGAGGGUAUGCUUGAAAUGCUGUUGGAAGUUGAUGAACUAUUAUGAAUAUGUAUGUGUAAUUUUGUGAAUUAUUGAUUCCAAAUUCUUGGAACUAUACUACUAAUUCUAAUAAUCGUGUUUAAUGAAAUGGAAGUUGGAAUUGUGAUAUUGGAAGAGUUCUAGGCGUAGAUACAAAAUUGGGAGUGUAAGGUUGCUUAAUUGUCAUUAAAUUGAAAUAUGAUAAGUUAAUUAUUGAAGUUGAUAUGGUUGCCUAUUCCCUUUGUGAGUUUGGAGGUGGUGAGAGUGAGAGAAGGAAACUUCAAGCCUAUAGAGAAAGCGAUUUUCCUCUUCUUGUUGAGCGCUUGAAGAAUUCAACAAAGUAUGAUUGUUUCUGCAAUAUGCUUUUCAAAAAAUUAUUUUGAUACAUGCCCUUGUAUUGUGAUAUACAUAUAUACUACUGAUUGAUGUUGUAGCCCUAUAUCUCCAAUGGUUUUGAGGAAAAUGGGAAGAUGUCCAUUGACACCAGAAGAAGCAGCACUUGUGCUAGCAGGCCUUGGUUGGUUCUAGUAUUUAUGGAGUAGAUUCAAAAAUGAAUCCCUUCACCAGGCUCUAUCCCAAUGUUAUUACAAAGGAAGAUUUCCUUGCUUGGUUGCUCCCAAUGAACUUGAACCUUUUAAGAAUUUUUCUUCUCAGACUCUGGUAGCUAACUCUCAGCAAUGGUGUCUGGAUUCAGAAGCUACUAUAGUGGCAAUCAUGCUCCCACUUUGAGGCCUAACAAGAAGAGGCUGACAGCAAUCUUGUGGCAGAAUGGUACCAUAGGAUGAAAUAGUUUUAAA
Molecule: non-coding RNA, 1880 nt
Organism: Arachis ipaensis
Lineage: Eukaryota; Viridiplantae; Streptophyta; Magnoliopsida; Fabales; Fabaceae
Source: RefSeq, a predicted model, not a curated record